UACGUAGGGCGCAAGCGUUGUCCGGAAUUAUUGGGCGUAAAGAGCUCGUAGGCGGCCUGUUGCGUCCGCUGUGAAAACCCGGGGCUUAACCCCGGGCUUGCAGUGGAUACGGGCAGGCUGGAGGCAGGCAGGGGAGAACGGAAUUCCCGGUGUAGCGGUGAAAUGCGCAGAUAUCAGGAGGAACACCGGUGGCGAAGGCGGAUCUCUGGGCCGUAACUGACGCUGAGGAGCGAAAGCAUGGGGAGCGAACAGG
RNAcentral lists this ribosomal RNA (253 nucleotides) under uncultured bacterium. RNAcentral's name for it is "partial 16S ribosomal RNA". It matches the Rfam family "Bacterial small subunit ribosomal RNA", at positions 524 to 776 of the family's 1533-position model. The record is from RNAcentral.